CUUCUGAGUAUCCGCUAGCCUGCUAGGAGAUGUGUGUGAGGAGCACCUGGCUCAGCCAUGCUUGAAUUUCUCUCACACCCAGGCCCAUGGGGCGCCCUCCUGCCUCUGCAGAGACUGUGCUGAUAUCCCUCUGACGGACAUCCGGCCCAGCAGAGGCUGGCUGGCGGUGUUGCCACUGAGCAGCCCUGCGCAUGGGUGUAAGGCACCGUAAGGCGAUGGAGCGGCUGGAGGAAGCUGUGCCUCUGGGACGCUGUGGAGGACGGGGCGGAGCAGGCUUCCCUGACUCACUGUGCAGGAGAUGCUAAGGCCAUUAAGGUCAUGGAGGUGGCUCUGGUGGCCUUGCAGGAAGAGGGAGCAGCCCGUCUUUGUGCACACUGGAAGAGUCUCACUAGGCUGAGCUUUGGACUUGGCCACUUCUGGGUGGAGAGGAACCACGGCACCCAGGCUGACCAGGACCCAGGAACAAAGCCACAGCAGCCACGAAGUUCGAGACCCUGCCUCGAUCAGCCAGGAGCUCCGUCCAGUGAGACCCAUCAGGACCAAAGUGGUGAGCUGCAGACAUAAACUCAAAUUCCAGAGUCUCCUUCUAACCAGCUCAUAAAUGAAUUCCUAAAUGCUGACUGCGCCAGAAGACCCAGCGUUGGAAAACCACUUGGCAGGAAUCAUCCAUUUCAAAAUGAGAUGAACUGCUCUCUUUAGCCUCAUUGAAAACUUCACAGAAACGCCAGAUUUCCAUAAACACAGGUUCCCUUGAAUUUCCAGGGCUUUGAUUAACUGGUGGACCAGGGAGCCUCACAAAUACAGAUUUGUGAGCAAUAUUCAGUUUGGACGAGCUGGGCGCUGGAAACCAACCCCAGCCUCCCCUCUCCUGUCGAAGACGUUAACUCUUCCCUGCUCUCUGAGGCUCCUUUUGUUAUGAGGAGUUUGGAGAAUUAAGAAUUAGUCUCUGGUUUUAAAGCGUGGCGAUAUAUCAUCUUGCUGUCGUGCAUGUCAUCAUCUGUUAAGCUUUUUAUGACUGAUUGGCAGCCCGCUGCUUUAUAGUGUGGCUUUAAUGCCCCCGAGGAACGAGAGAAUUAAAAAAUACACUUCUCUGUCUGCUGAAAAGUCAUAAAGCUGUGGCUUCUACUAAGUAAAGAGAUUGCUUGCGAAGACAUAUUUUCUUUUUAAAAUGUGUUUUCAUUUUUCUUCCUACUGCCGCCCUUCUCCUCUGCCACUGGCACACGAAGCGAACAGAUUCACA
Fukomys damarensis (Damara mole-rat) is the source of this 1240-nucleotide long non-coding RNA. RefSeq lists it as uncharacterized. Lineage: Eukaryota; Metazoa; Chordata; Mammalia; Rodentia; Bathyergidae. The record is from RefSeq and is a predicted model, not a curated record. The transcript is spliced from 3 exons.